RNAcentral lists this ribosomal RNA (116 nucleotides) under Bacillus licheniformis. RNAcentral also lists the same sequence under 3 other names. The record is from RNAcentral. Lineage: Bacteria; Bacillati; Bacillota; Bacilli; Caryophanales; Bacillaceae.
UUUGGUGGCGAUAGCGAAGAGGUCACACCCGUUCCCAUACCGAACACGGAAGUUAAGCUCUUCAGCGCCGAUGGUAGUUGGGGGCUUCCCCCUGUGAGAGUAGGACGCCGCCAAGC